AGGCACGUACGAAUCUUGGCUGUGCGAUAAACAGAAGCUGAGCUUCAGAGAAUUUAUGACAUGAUGAUAAAUGAUGCGGAAUCUAGAGAUCAAAGAUGAGGUGCCCCUGCCUUCACAGAACCCACAGGGAAAUCUGCCAGAGUUAAAGGUAAGAAAAGGGAAUCUGGGAUCCAGAAUAGGGUUGAAGUGAUCUUGCAUUCCUCCUGUGAUGUCUAUUCUGCCUUCUGUCUCUGCCAAGCAACAGAAUAAAGACCAAGCUUCUACCCAUAGCAGAUGAAGAAUCAGACAACAUUUAAGAAACUGAGACCACAAGCCUUUACCUCACCUCACCCUUCCUGUCAGAGUUGAUUUUAGUUGGGAUUUGGUUUUGGAUGAAAAUUUAAAUAAAUUUCUUAGACAUGCCCAUCUUUUCAUUUGGCAGGCAAGAUGGACUAGAAUUGGGGUGGUCAUAAUCAUGUUUGUGGAUGUGGCACAAAGCAGUGACA
Kogia breviceps (pygmy sperm whale) is the source of this 485-nucleotide non-coding RNA. The record is from RefSeq and is a predicted model, not a curated record. Lineage: Eukaryota; Metazoa; Chordata; Mammalia; Artiodactyla; Physeteridae.